Molecule: ribosomal RNA, 303 nt
Filed under: uncultured bacterium
Lineage: Bacteria
Description: partial 16S ribosomal RNA
Rfam family: Bacterial small subunit ribosomal RNA
Source: RNAcentral
AGCAGCCGCCGCGGGAAUACAGAGGGUGCGAGCGUUAAUCGGAUUUACUGGGCGUAAAGCGUGCGUAGGCGGCUUCUUAAGUCGGAUGUGAAAUCCCUGAGCUUAACUUAGGAAUUGCAUUCGAUACUGGGAAGCUAGAGUAUGGGAGAGGAUGGUAGAAUUCCAGGUGUAGCGGUGAAAUGCGUAGAGAUCUGGAGGAAUACCGAUGGCGAAGGCAGCCAUCUGGCCUAAUACUGACGCUGAGGUACGAAAGCAUGGGGAGCAAACAGGAUUAGAUACCCCGGUAGUCCCUGUCUCUUAUAU